This 466-nucleotide ribosomal RNA is filed under the name uncultured bacterium. RNAcentral describes it as "partial 16S ribosomal RNA". It matches the Rfam family "Bacterial small subunit ribosomal RNA", at positions 29 to 506 of the family's 1533-position model. The record is from RNAcentral.
AGUGAACGCUGGCGGUAGGCCUAACACAUGCAAGUCGAACGGCAGCACCGUAAGAGCUUGCUCUUACGGGUGGCGAGUGGCGGACGGGUGAGGAAUACAUCGGAAUCUACUUUUCCGCGGGGGAUAACGUAGGGAAACUUACGCUAAUACCGCAUACGACCUACGGGUGAAAGCAGGGGAUCUGCUGACCUUGCGCGAUGGGAUGAGCCGAUGUCGGAUUAGCUAGUUGGCGGGGUAAAGGCCCACCAAGGCGACGAUCCGUAGCUGGUGUGAGAGGAUGAUCAGCCACACUGGGACUGGGACACGGCCCAGAGUCUUACGGAAGGGAGCAGUGGGGAAUAUUGGACAAUGGGCGGAAGCAGGAUCCAGCCAGGCCGCGUGAGUGCUGAAGGCAUUAGGGUUGGAAAGCUCUUUUAUCCGGGACGAUAAUGACGGUACCGGAGGAAUAAGCCCCGGCUAACUUCGU